This 508-nucleotide ribosomal RNA is filed under the name uncultured bacterium. RNAcentral describes it as "partial 16S ribosomal RNA". The record is from RNAcentral.
GGAGUUAGCCGGUGCUUCUUCUGUGAGUGAUGUCCUUCCUGCCGGCUAUUAACCCGCAGGCCUUCUUCCUCACUGAAAGUGCUUUACAACCCGAAGGCCUUCUUCACACACGCGGCAUGGCUGGAUCAGGGUUUGCCCCCAUUGUCCAAUAUUCCCCACUGCUGCCUCCCGUAGGAGUCUGGGCCGUGUCUCAGUCCCAGUGUGGCUGAUCAUCCUCUCAGACCAGCUACGGAUCGUCGCCUUGGUGAGCCGUUACCUCACCAACCAGCUAAUCCGACAUAGGCUCAUCCGAUAGCGCGAGGCCCGAAGGUCCCCCGNUUUCCCCCGUAGGGCGUAUGCGGUAUUAGCCUGGGUUUCCCCAGGUUAUCCCCCACUACCGGGAAGAUUCCUAUGCAUUACUCACCCGUCCGCCGCUCGCCACCAGGGAGCAAGCUCCCCGUGCUGCCGCUCGACUUGCAUGUGUUAGGCCUGCCGCCAGCGUUCAAUCUGAGCCAGAAUCGAACCCUGA